UCUAAGCAUAAGCCUAAAAACGGUGAAGCCGCGAAUAGCUCAUUACAACAGCCAUAGUUUAUUGGAUCUUGACUUCCUACUUGGAUACCUGUGGUAAUUCUAGAGCUAAUACACGCACCCAAGCUCCAACCUCCGGGCGGAGCGCAUUUAUUAGAACAAAACCAAUCGGGCUCGCCCGUAAUUUGGUGAAUCUGAAUAACUCAGCUGAUCGCAUGGUCCUCGUACCAGCGACGUAUCUUUCAAGUGUCUGCCUUAUCAACUUUCGAUGGUAGUUUAUGUGCCUACCAUGGUUGUAACGGGUAACGGAGAACAAGGGUUCGAUUCCGGAGAGGGAGCCUGAGAAACGGCUACCACAUCUAAGGAAGGCAGCAGGCGCGUAAAUUACCCAAUCGCGAUUCGCGGAGGUAGUGACAAGAAAUAACGGACCGAAGCCUAUGUUUCGGGAUUGCAAUGAGUAGAAUUUAAACCCCUUUACGAGGAUCAAUUGGAGGGCAAGUCUGGUGCCAG
RNAcentral lists this ribosomal RNA (507 nucleotides) under Nematoda environmental sample. Its description in RNAcentral is "bacterial SSU rRNA". It matches the Rfam family "Eukaryotic small subunit ribosomal RNA", at positions 58 to 570 of the family's 1831-position model. Lineage: Eukaryota; Metazoa; Nematoda. The record is from RNAcentral.